Molecule: unclassified non-coding RNA, 250 nt
Filed under: Dissoconium sp.
Lineage: Eukaryota; Fungi; Ascomycota; Dothideomycetes; Mycosphaerellales; Dissoconiaceae
Also listed under: 2 other names
Description: partial contains 5.8S ribosomal RNA, internal transcribed spacer 2, and large subunit ribosomal RNA
Rfam family: 5.8S ribosomal RNA (bases 1-52)
Source: RNAcentral
AACGCACAUUGCGCCCCCUGGUAUUCCGGGGGGCAUGCCUGUUCGAGCGUCAUUUCAACCAAACCAGCCCCGCUGGGUGUUGGGCGUCGCGGUCCGCCGCGCGCCUCAAAGUCUUCGGCGGAAGCCGCCCGUUCCUCUGCGUGAUGCAUCGUCGUCGCUCGGGACACGGGGGUGAGCGCCCGGAAAUCGUCGGCGGAGACGCCGACUUCAGGUUGACCUCGGAUCAGGUAGGGAUACCCGCUGAACUUAA